GCAGUCGAACGCCCGUAGCAAUACGGGAGUGGCAGACGGGUGAGUAACGCGUGGGAACGUACCUUUCGGUUCGGAAUAACCCGGGGAAACUCGGGCUAAUACCGGAUACGUCCGCAAGGAGAAAGAUUUAUCGCCGAAAGAUCGGCCGCGUCGGAUUAGCUAGUUGGUGAGGUAACGGCCACCAGCGACGAUCCGUAGCUGGUCUGAGAGGAUGAUCAGCACACUGGGACUGAGACACGGCCCAGACUCCUACGGGAGGCAGCAGUAAGGAAUAUUGGACAAUGGGCGCAAGCCUGAUCCAGCCAUGCCGCGUGAAGGAUUAAGGCCCUAUGGGUUGUAAACUUCUUUUAUACGGGACAAAACCCCUCUACGUGUAGAGGGUUGAUGGUACUGUAAGAAUAAGCAUCGGCUAACUUCGUGCCAGCAGCCGCGGUAAUACGAAGGAUGCAAGCGUUAUCCGGAAUUAUUGGGUUUAAAGGGUGCGUAGGCGGACCUAUAAGUCAGUGGUGAAAGCCCCAAGCUCAACUUGGGAACUGCCAUUGAUACUGUUGGUCUUGAGUACAGUUGAGGUAGGCGGAAUGUGUCAUGUAGCGGUGAAAUGCUUUAGAUAUGACACAGAA
RNAcentral lists this ribosomal RNA (620 nucleotides) under uncultured bacterium. Its description in RNAcentral is "bacterial SSU rRNA". It matches the Rfam family "Bacterial small subunit ribosomal RNA", at positions 57 to 706 of the family's 1533-position model. The record is from RNAcentral.